This 265-nucleotide ribosomal RNA is filed under the name uncultured bacterium. RNAcentral describes it as "partial 16S ribosomal RNA". It matches the Rfam family "Bacterial small subunit ribosomal RNA", at positions 333 to 612 of the family's 1533-position model. The record is from RNAcentral.
GAUGCCCUACGGGACGCAGCAGUGGGGAAUAUUGGGCAAUGGGCGCAAGCCUGACCCAGCAACGCCGCGUGAAGGAAGAAGGCUUUCGGGUUGUAAACUUCUUUUCUGAGGGACGAAGGAAGUGACGGUACCUCAGGAAUAAGCCACGGCUAACUACGUGCCAGCAGCGGCGGUAAUACGUAGGUGGCAAGCGUUAUCCGGAUUUAUUGGGUGUAAAGGGCGUGUAGGCGGGAAUGUCAGUCAGAUGUGAAAACUAUGGGAUAAA